RNAcentral lists this ribosomal RNA (752 nucleotides) under Bacillus cereus. RNAcentral's name for it is "bacterial SSU rRNA". It matches the Rfam family "Bacterial small subunit ribosomal RNA", at positions 69 to 803 of the family's 1533-position model. Lineage: Bacteria; Bacillati; Bacillota; Bacilli; Caryophanales; Bacillaceae. The record is from RNAcentral.
GGAUUAAGAGCUUGCUCUUAUGAAGUUAGCGGCGGACGGGUGAGUAACACGUGGGUAACCUGCCCAUAAGACUGGGAUAACUCCGGGAAACCGGGGCUAAUACCGGAUAACAUUUUGAACCGCAUGGUUCGAAAUUGAAAGGCGGCUUCGGCUGUCACUUAUGGAUGGACCCGCGUCGCAUUAGCUAGUUGGUGAGGUAACGGCUCACCAAGGCAACGAUGCGUAGCCGACCUGAGAGGGUGAUCGGCCACACUGGGACUGAGACACGGCCCAGACUCCUACGGGAGGCAGCAGUAGGGAAUCUUCCGCAAUGGACGAAAGUCUGACGGAGCAACGCCGCGUGAGUGAUGAAGGCUUUCGGGUCGUAAAACUCUGUUGUUAGGGAAGAACAAGUGCUAGUUGAAUAAGCUGGCACCUUGACGGUACCUAACCAGAAAGCCACGGCUAACUACGUGCCAGCAGCCGCGGUAAUACGUAGGUGGCAAGCGUUAUCCGGAAUUAUUGGGCGUAAAGCGCGCGCAGGUGGUUUCUUAAGUCUGAUGUGAAAGCCCACGGCUCAACCGUGGAGGGUCAUUGGAAACUGGGAGACUUGAGUGCAGAAGAGGAAAGUGGAAUUCCAUGUGUAGCGGUGAAAUGCGUAGAGAUAUGGAGGAACACCAGUGGCGAAGGCGACUUUCUGGUCUGUAACUGACACUGAGGCGCGAAAGCGUGGGGAGCAAACAGGAUUAGAUACCCCUGGUAGUCCACGCCGU